CGUAGGGACCGAGCGUUGUCCGGAUUCAUUGGGCGUAAAGAGCUCGUAGGCGGCCACUCAAGUCGAAUGUGAAACCUCGAGGCUCAACCUCGAGCCUGCAUUCGAUACUGGGCGGCUAGAGUCUGGUAGGGGGAUCUGGAAUUCCUGGUGUAGCGGUGGAAUGCGCAGAUAUCAGGAGGAACACCGGUGGCGAAGGCGGGAUCCUGGGCCAGUACUGACGCUGAGGAGCGAAAGCGUGGGGAGCAAACAGGAUUAGACACCCUGGUAGUCCACGCCGUAAACGACGGGCGCUAGGUGUGGGAGGUCAUCGACUCCUUCCGUGCCGCAGCUAACGCAUUAAGCGCCCCGCCUGGGGAGUACGGCCGCAAGGCUA
RNAcentral lists this ribosomal RNA (373 nucleotides) under uncultured organism. Its description in RNAcentral is "bacterial SSU rRNA". It matches the Rfam family "Bacterial small subunit ribosomal RNA", at positions 526 to 896 of the family's 1533-position model. The record is from RNAcentral.